This 204-nucleotide ribosomal RNA is filed under the name Phialocephala sp. Its description in RNAcentral is "partial large subunit ribosomal RNA". Lineage: Eukaryota; Fungi; Ascomycota; Leotiomycetes; Helotiales; Mollisiaceae. The record is from RNAcentral.
AAGCGCUUGCAACCAGACUUGCGGGCGGUCGAUCAUCCGAGGUUCUCCCCGGUGCACUCGAUCGUUCUCAGGCCAGCAUCGGUUUCCGGGGUGGGAUAAAGGCGGUGGGAAUGUGGCUCUUCGGAGUGUUAUAGCCCAUUGUGUAAUACCCUGUGGUGGACUGAGGUUCGCGCAUCUGCAAGGAUGCUGGCGUAAUGGUCAUCA